AGUGAACGCUGGCGGUAGGCCUAACACAUGCAAGUCGAACGGCAGCACAGUAAGAGCUUGCUCUUACGGGUGGCGAGUGGCGGACGGGUGAGGAAUACAUCGGAAUCUACUUUUUCGUGGGGGAUAACGUAGGGAAACUUACGCUAAUACCGCAUACGACCUACGGGUGAAAGCAUGGGAUCUUCGGACCUUGCGCGAUUGAAUGAGCCGAUGUCGGAUUAGCUAGUUGGCGGGGUAAAGGCCCACCAAGGCGACGAUCCGUAGCUGGUCUGAGAGGAUGAUCAGCCAAACUGGAACUGGGACACGGUCCAGACUCCUAAGGGAGGCAGCAGUGGGGAAUAUUGGACAAUGGGCGCAAGCCUGAUCCAGCCAUACCGCGUGGGUGAAGAAGGCCUUCGGGUUGUAAAGCCAUUUUGUUGGGAAAGAAAAGCAGCAGGUUAAUACCCCGCUGUUCUGACGGUACCCAAAGAAUAAGCACCGGCUAACUUCGUG
RNAcentral lists this ribosomal RNA (492 nucleotides) under uncultured bacterium. Its description in RNAcentral is "partial 16S ribosomal RNA". It matches the Rfam family "Bacterial small subunit ribosomal RNA", at positions 29 to 507 of the family's 1533-position model. The record is from RNAcentral.